This 292-nucleotide ribosomal RNA is filed under the name uncultured bacterium. RNAcentral describes it as "partial 16S ribosomal RNA". It matches the Rfam family "Bacterial small subunit ribosomal RNA", at positions 505 to 796 of the family's 1533-position model. The record is from RNAcentral.
GUGCCAGCCGCCGCGGUAAUACGGAGGGUGCAAGCGUUGUCCGGAAUCACUGGGCGUAAAGCGCGCGUAGGCGGCGUGAUAAGCCGGUUGUGAAAGCCCCGGGCUCAACCUGGGAACGGCAUCCGGAACUGUUAGGCUAGAGUGCAGGAGAGGAAGGUAGAAUUCCCGGUGUAGCGGUGAAAUGCGUAGAGAUCGGGAGGAAUACCAGUGGCGAAGGCGGCCUUCUGGACUGACACUGACGCUGAGGUGCGAAAGCGUGGGUAGCAAACAGGAUUAGAUACCCUGGUAGUCC